UCCCUGGCAGUCCAGGGGCAAAGACUCUGUGCUCCCAAUGCAGGGGACACAGGUUCAAUCCCUGGUCAGGGAA
Molecule: non-coding RNA, 73 nt
Organism: Bos taurus (domestic cattle)
Lineage: Eukaryota; Metazoa; Chordata; Mammalia; Artiodactyla; Bovidae
Source: Rfam